RNAcentral lists this long non-coding RNA (5265 nucleotides) under Venturia canescens. RNAcentral's name for it is "uncharacterized LOC122419233, transcript variant X1". The record is from RNAcentral. Lineage: Eukaryota; Metazoa; Arthropoda; Insecta; Hymenoptera; Ichneumonidae.
CGCGAUUCUCGUUUGUUUUUUCCACUUGAUUAUAUUCUCGUCAGCCUCUCUACAUCGUAUUUAUAUACAUAUAGAAAUAUGCACGUGCUGUACAGACAUUAAGUCGAGAGAGCGUCGGCGCGACUUCCAGUUCUCUGCACAUCGACAGGAACUUCUCGCGAUCAGUGCUCGAGCUCGACUGCUAAUUCCCGUGCAUACGAAUAAGUGAACGCCCAGUGCACACACGUGGAGAACAAAUUAGUUGAGUGGGUUCUGCGAGAGUUCGUUCAGAGAUCAGCGUCGUGAUGCUGGACUCGGGAAGAUAUCCGCGUUGUUCGAAGGUUCGUCAGUUUUUCAAUUCAGUAAAUCACCGAACGGAUUGCGCCGAAAGUUUGACGGGAUGAAAAAUCGCGUUUCCGACUUCGUUCCUGGUUUUACGGAAUUCCGAAACUAAUGAGCUUUUUCGAAAACGUAGAAAAAAUCGAGUGUUCAGUAGUUUCCGAAAUUCUCAUGUGCCAAGAAAGCGAAUUACUAAUUUGAGGAGCACUUGAAAAUGAGCUGUGAAUUGUACAGCGAUUCGAAUAAUUGAUGAACAGUUCAAAGAUCCUGAAUAUUUUUUCUGACUGUUACAUUUUAAAAAAAGUCAGAAAAAUCGUAUUUUACAUUGAAAAAUCGAUGCGAGCCGGGCCCGUAAGCAGAGCUACUCUACUGCAAAUGCGUUGUUCGCAACUCCAACUUCCCGGGCACAGUCGGCAUAAAAAGCUGCGACACUUGUUCCGGGUUGACAUCGAGCCACCGCGCGGUGAGUCGCUAAUUAACUCUCCGGAAGAAAAAAGGUAAUUUUUUCGAUGUUGGAAUAUGGUUUGCGCGAAGCCGCGUUCAAUUUUCCAAUUCGAUUAAAAAUAACCCGAGUUUGUUUAGGCAGUCUGGUUUUGACAGAUUAUUUUGCGUUUCUCGAUCACCCGCUGUUGAGCGUUUUCAUCUCUGGAUGAGCGACUUUCGAGAAAGUUGUGACGUCGUCGCUGAUCCACCCAUGCGUUCGAAGGCAAAAUAAAUUCCACGAGUUUCGGGAAACUCCACUCUCAUUAUCCCAUGACCAUUGAAAAUAAAUGUCAAACCCACCAAAUUGAAAAAAUGUAUUUUAUGGCCAGUGUAUUUUCGGUACCGUAAAACUCAUUUGUUAGUGUUAAAUUUGGCAACGAAUUCGAUUUAAUCGUUACGCCGGAGCUCUCUACGGUUCGUAUAUUUGUUGCCGUUCGGCAGCGGAGUCCGCUGAUACUAUCACGAUUCCAUAUCGAAUGAAUUACGCUAAUACGGAGCUAUGUAAAUGCAACGCGAUGGGUCAAUGACCAAAAAGUUCAUUUGAACCGAGUACUAAUUAUUUUUUCCCAGCUCCCCGAUGCGAUUUACCCGUUGGAAGGAAUAAAACAGAGUAUCAAAACGAAAUAUUCGUUUAGUCGAAUGCCCCUCUAACUCUCCGCAUAUCAAUGAGCGUUACGAAACUUUAAUUCCAUUCGCGAACGAUUUUCACCGCUCGUAUAUCAGCUAUCGAAAAUUAAACGUGCCUCCGGUUAUUAUGAGCCUCUAAUUAUUCGAUAACGCGUGGCUCAGAUCGCUUAUGCGUGCGUAAUUACAUCGUUCCUAACCAGCUUUUUGUUCGACCAAUAAAAUCUCUUUUUCGUGUGUUCCGUUGUGGAAGUUCAUUUUAAUCACGCGCUGCCUACAAAUACAAAGAGCCUAAUUAUGCGCCGCAGCUUCGAUGUACGAAGGCUCGAAAAUGUGUACAUCGAUCGAUUUUUCUUCGUUCAUGAUCCAAUAGGCAUAUCGCAUACACGCUCGCGUGAAAAACUGUGUUCGAUGUUUUUUAUUUUGGACACUCUUCUUCUGCUGUUUUUAAAACCGCUCGGAAGUUUAUAAAAUUCUCCACGCUCCGCGGAGACAUGAUGAAAAAACUGGCAAUGGACUCGCGCUUGGAGGUAACGAAAGCACGCGAGAAGGGAUCACGGUUCGUAGUGAGCCACUGAACUUAUACGUCAGCGAAGCGACGCUUGACCGUUACGAGAAUUUUGAAACAGUUGACGCAAAAAAUCAAGGGGGGUUGACUUUUUUGAUCGUCGGGGGCCUACGGAUGGGGGAAAAGCACCAAACGAAUGAACCUCGGUCCAUUUCAAUCGUAUUCUUUCGAGCGUAUUUUUAUAGCAGUUGCGGACCCCGCUGUAUCAACGGCCGUAUGUAAAUACUCUUUCAAUUGAAUUUUUCCACGAGAGUGAACCUUUUUGAGUGGUGGAGAAUAAAAACUGAACAUUCGCGUGCACCGACUCGACACGAAGCCAUUUAAGAGGAUUGCGUUUCCGAUUGAAGUCAAUUACAGUCAAUUGUCAACGUGUUAAUCAACGUUACUUUUCUGUUUGCUCGUUUUGUAUUGGUAACUCGAUCAGUUCCGACAUAAUAAACGUGGAUGAAGCGUGUGCGGUUUUGAGAUUAUAUUCCUUCAUUUGAUUUUGUUACUCGAUACAUUUUCGUCAACGACUUUGUAUUAUGAGCUAUAAGCUUUUGUUUCACACGAGUGUCGCGACCAAGUUUACAGGAAACAUAACCCCUCAAAGCAAAACUGACUCAGCUCAAGCAGUUUUCGAUCGCUCGAAAUUGAGUCGUUGUAAAACUUUAUGAAAUCCUAACAAAAUGUGAACACUGACUUUGUUGCGUUUCGAUACCGAGCAGUUAAUUCAUAUUUUUUUCAAAUGCCCAAGAAACGAAAAUUUCAACAAGCCUCGCGCGAAGCACGGUAAAUAAAAAUUCCGAUACUCGUACUCGAUUUUUUUUCAAAUUUAUUUCAUAACCGCAUGACGAAUAUAUUUACUAUUGGAAAUUCUCACUCUCGAUCGUAUUGAAUACGAAUUUUCACUCAUGAGAAAAAGCAUCUGCUUUGUAAAAAAUAUUCGCAUAAUUGAACGCACGAAUGCGCACACGUUCAUUUUUCGACUCGAAUUAGCGACGAAAAGGUUAUGUGACUGUAUUCUCUCACGUCGAUAAAUAGCGCGUUCGAAGCCGGAUAAAAACUCUCAAAGUUGCUUUUGAAAGAACCAGGGGAAAAAAAUUUACCACAUAGCAGAACAUCUGUUCAAAUCGUUCAUAUAAAUCUGUAAUGAUCAUAAAUAAUAACAAAUUUCUUGAUGAAAUAAACUGUGACGUGUUAUGAUCGACAGGGGUUACGGAAAAGUAUAUGAGAUCUCGCUCUGCGGCUUCUAAAGAUUGCGACGAGUUCAUCGAUAUUUUGAUAAACACAGACAUCCCGCGAGGGUAUUAUGAGAAUGAAAUUACUUAUCAUCCGGAAUCCGGACUGCACGAGAUGUCAGCAGAUCGAAAAAUGCGUGUACGACACUCGAUCCUAUAAACAACUGCAUUUAUGAUCGACGUGUAUUAUUAUGUAAUUUCAGUCAGCGUCUCGUCGCUCGGCGGUAUAUCUACAAUAUUGUAGUGAACUCAAAGAAACAACGAAUUCCACACGGAAUCACUUGAUUUUUGCACUGCUUGCAUUUAUGAAUCCUGCACAAACUGAAUUUAACUUUAAACUGAAUUCUGCAAAAAAUAUCUUUUCACCGGUGAAAUCUGACUUUAAUUCUGAUUUUCGAAGACGUUGAUGCGGUCAUUUUGAGGUUGGAAAAAAAAUAACUCGAAAUUGGAUCUGACAAUGGGAACGGAUUUGUUGAUCGUGAAAUAUUUGAGUUGGUGGAAGUUGUUUUGAGUACAAAAACAAAAAAAAAUUCUUUGUCUUUUCGUUCGUUUGCUGCUGCAUCAUUCGAUUACGAACCUUCCGAUUUAUAACGAAAGACCACAUCAGUCGUCAAUUCUAUUUACACUCCAUCUAUAUUGAUUGACCGAGCAGAAAAAAGUUCGUAUGAUAUUUUCAAACGCAAACUCAGGAACUAGUGAAACGUGAUGACACGAAGAUGGAUUGUGAUUAAAAAUAGUUUCAUUCCGUACAUAAAAGGGAGAAAACAUUGUUACUCUACAGCUCUCUAGCGCGGAAAUAUUUCUCGCGGAACUCGAAAGUCGAAAACACUUGUCCUGCCAUCUGGAAGAUCUCUCGUGAACUUUCAGUGCAAUCUUCCCUCUCUCUUCUUAGGAGGGCCGGCACAUUUUCAAUGUGUGCCGGUGGAAUCACGUGAGGCGAAAUUUCAAUGAGAGCAUGUUCUGAUGUCAACAAACAAAACUGAAACUUUUUCUGCUUUUUGACCACUCAAGUUCUGGAGAAUUAGGAGAAUUCCAUGAAUAUUAUUCAUUGAUAAAUUUAUUACUUUCCUGCUGUCAUCUGUUCAACGAUUUAACCAAUAAACGAAAUCGUUUACUACCGGAAAUCAUUCGACCGCGAUGUCAUUACCAGCUACCGUCAAUCCUGCAGUUGUUCGCAUGCAACUGAGUAAAAACAUCGAAAACUUUUACGACGAUGAAAUAUCAGAAAAUAUAAAAAUUAUCGUGAUACCGUUCGCAACUUUCAUAUGCGAAAUCUUUUUGAGUAAUUUAUGAAUAGUAUUAAUAAACGUCACUUGUUACCAUGUACCAAAGUAGCAAGUAAAAGUGGAUGUAAAAUUCAUAUUUUUUUAAAGAAAUUCACACGAAUCUGAUGGAAAAUAAAAAAUUUUGAUUCGGAGUAAAAUUUCGAGAGAGAAAAUGUUAGAUCAGUAUUUAUUGUAAAGUAGAAUGCAUCGACUGCUUACAAAAAUCCUGUUCCCUUUUGUGUGAGAACGUUAAUGCACGUUUUACGCAUCAGAUGUGAACCACAUGAUAGCAGUUGUACAGGAAUUGUUUGAAAAACGGUGAUGACGACGAUCGACUACGCGGUGAUGAAAGAAUCUUCCAGAGAGUCAUGACGCAUCAGCGUUUGUUUGUAAGCCCUCAGCAUUUUUUCUUAUCAAUUUUCGUUGCGCAGAAAGAGAAAUGAGAGCUUGAAUUAAAUACAAUACUCAAGAGAGCAGUAUCAGCACGAUAUUUAGACGGAAAGUCGAAACUGACGAUCCGGCAUGUUAUUUUUCAUGCUCCGAGCGACACGAUUCCGCAUGUCGACGAAAGUUUCGAAUGACAGUGUUUUUCUUUCAUUAACAAGAUUUUUGAAAAGCCAUGCAGUUUCGUGAUAUAAAGAGGAUUAGUUUCAAUGUUUGAUUUACUGAAUUUACGAAUUGAAGAACGAAGAUUUUUUCGUCGUGUAGGUACAGGAAAUGAAGGAAUAGAAAGGUCGAUUGCAAUGAGCACAAAUCUUUUAUUGAAUCAAAUAUUUGACGUCGUUGC